UGCCAGCCGCCGCGGUAAUACGAAGGGGGCAAGCGUUGUUCGGAAUCACUGGGCGUAAAGAGCACGUAGGCGGAUUGUUAAGUUAGGGGUGAAAUCCCGGGGCUCAACCUCGGAACUGCCUCUGAUACUGGCAAUCUUGAGAUCGAGAGAGGAGUGUGGAACUCCGAGUGUAGAGGUGAAAUUCGUAGAUAUUCGGAAGAACACCAGAGGCGAAGGCGGCACUCUGGCUCGAUACUGACGCUGAGGUGCGAAAGCGUGGGGAGCAAACAGGAUUAGAUA
Molecule: ribosomal RNA, 279 nt
Filed under: uncultured bacterium
Lineage: Bacteria
Description: partial 16S ribosomal RNA
Rfam family: Bacterial small subunit ribosomal RNA
Source: RNAcentral